UUUAGUUGAAUUAAAAUUUAGAGAGUAGGUCUUAACGGUCUGAAAACCAUUUGACAUGGCGGUUUCUUUUCCCCAUCAGAGGGAUGUGUUUUGAAAGCGAAAUCCCACGGUUAUCUUUCUUAAUUUAGAACAACUCAUUCUGUUCACUGCCGUCUGGAAGGGUUUAAAAUGACAAUUUUUUAAAUCCCUAUCCCUUUUCAGGGGAUAAGUCAGGUUAAGUGCAAACCAUAAUUAAGAAAAAAUGCAUUUCACUAUCAAGGUGAAAGGAAAUUUGAAAAGUUUUCUUAAAAAGAAUUUGAAAGUAAAUCAAUUUUAUCAUAAUUGCUUGAACUAGGAAAUAAGAAAUGC
This 348-nucleotide ribosomal RNA is filed under the name Columbicola baculoides. RNAcentral's name for it is "partial 12S ribosomal RNA". Lineage: Eukaryota; Metazoa; Arthropoda; Insecta; Psocodea; Philopteridae. The record is from RNAcentral.